This 214-nucleotide long non-coding RNA is filed under the name Homo sapiens (human). Its description in RNAcentral is "PREDICTED lncRNA (TCONS_00042905)". Lineage: Eukaryota; Metazoa; Chordata; Mammalia; Primates; Hominidae. The record is from RNAcentral.
GCCUAGGAGAAGCUGGGAAGUGCUUUCGUUAAGUGAAAAGGGAAGAAGGAGAGAGAAAAAAACCAGUGCCUAGUGAUGACGCCAAGUCAAGGUAAAACCUGGCCAAGGGUGGACCUGGCUCCAGUGUCUCUUCCAGUUCUCCUUCACCCUGGGGAUUACUCAUUUAUCUCUAUGAAUGCAGAUUUAUGGACCUAUAAAUGAAUAUAUGUGUUAG